CGGCUGCUUCAGACAUCACAGAAGUCUGACAUCCCUGGGCUGGUUCAGGUCUUCAGAUGCUCCCACCGAGUAGCAGCAGAGUGGCAUUCUAACACCGACUCACGAAAACACAGACUUCUGCUGAGACGAGCGGGUCGCACAAGGAGGGAGAUGAAAACAAGCAGCAACGAGAAAAAUGGCUGCAAAGCAACAGACAAGGAAACGCUAAGAGUGAACAAAUGAAGGUCACAUCUUGAGUCUCCAGAUUCUCCUCAGCAACAUGCAUGACCUCUUCAUCAGUCUGAAAAUGGUGACCUCUGGAUGGUGAUUUCAGUUUGGGAAACAGUCGCUGCAGGUCAGCCCCUGAAGUCAUCGGAGCUUUGGGCACUCGGCCAGGACAGGAUUUAAAUCUGCCCAUUCUCCUCCUGAGGAAGCCGUCUUCACGAUCUGCCCUGCAGCCGAACAUGGGGGGCAAUAAGUGGUGCAGAGGGGAUGACAAACGACAAUGAGUCAGGAAAUUACUUUGUGUACAGCCGGUAUUAUUCAUAAAGCACUUAAAUUGCUUGAAUAUUCAUAUAUCUGCUGCUAAAUCUGCAGCUCGGGAGCUUUUAAGGGCCUCCGAAUGUACGGAGCGGAGGAAGCACUGGAGAUGUUCUGGAAUAAACAAAACAUUACUGCAGAGCUGCUGCGAGUCGACGCAUUUUCAUGAGAUCGUUACAGAUAAACUGCCACUUAGUUAAAGAUGCAUUCCUCAGUAUUCUCACAAACACUGCGGCUGCAAAGA
Amphiprion ocellaris (clown anemonefish) is the source of this 763-nucleotide long non-coding RNA. RefSeq lists it as uncharacterized. The record is from RefSeq and is a predicted model, not a curated record. The transcript has 3 exons. NCBI's taxonomy places the organism in Eukaryota, Metazoa, Chordata, Actinopteri, Pomacentridae.